Molecule: ribosomal RNA, 448 nt
Filed under: uncultured bacterium
Lineage: Bacteria
Description: bacterial SSU rRNA
Rfam family: Bacterial small subunit ribosomal RNA
Source: RNAcentral
ACUCCUACGGGAGGCAGCAGUGGGGAAUCUUGGACAAUGGGCGCAAGCCUGAUCCAGCCAUGCCGCGUGAGUGAUGAAGGCCCUAGGGUCGUAAAGCUCUUUCGCCAGGGAUGAUAAUGACAGUACCUGGUAAAGAAACCCCGGCUAACUCCGUGCCAGCAGCCGCGGUAAUACGGAGGGGUUAGCGUUGUUCGGAAUUACUGGGGCGUAAAGCGCGCGUAGGCGGACUGGAAAGUUGGGGGUGAAAUCCCGGGGCUCAACCCCGGAACUGCCUCCAAAACUCCCAGUCUUGAGUUCGAGAGAGGUGAGUGGAAUUCCGAGUGUAGAGGUGAAAUUCGUAGAUAUUCGGAGGAACACCAGUGGCGAAGGCGGCUCACUGGCUCGAUACUGACGCUGAGGUGCGAAAGUGUGGGGAGCAAACAGGAUUAGAUACCCUGGUAGGAUAGCC